This 555-nucleotide long non-coding RNA is filed under the name Marmota monax (woodchuck). The record is from RNAcentral. Lineage: Eukaryota; Metazoa; Chordata; Mammalia; Rodentia; Sciuridae.
UCAGAAUGAGGUACACAGGAGAUGCCACAGAUCUUCCAUGCAACUCCACCGACAUCCAUCCUCUCCCCAGCUUCCCAUGGUGGCAGCAUGACACAGCAAGGCUGGGUUGAGUAGGCCUUGGAUGCCUAGAGAGGGUCUGGACAAAGGGUAUUUGGGUGUGUCUGUGUGGCUAAGAAAAACUGUGUUUUUAAUCUGUACAUUUAUUAGUCAUGUUAUCUCAAACUACUGAUAUUUACAAAAUUACGUUUGCCUUAAUUAUCUGCAGAAUUUAAAAUGAAGGAUAGUGGAAAGCAUUUAAUGAGCAUAUAUCAUGGUACAGAUAAGUGUCCAAACCUUUUGAAAUAAGUAAAUAAUAGAUAUGAGAUGACAUGGAUGGAGAGCAUUUGGGGAAGGAAAAGGGAAGCUAGCUGAAAAGGAAUCCUUCACAAAAUUUGGAGGACUUGGGAAUUAAAUCUGUACUCAAUUAUGUCUCUACAGGGGCUGUGGCUGUGGCUCUGCAGUAGCACACUUGCCUAUCAUGUGUGAGGCCCUGAGUUGAUUCUCAACACCACAGAC